This 67-nucleotide transfer RNA is filed under the name Marmota monax (woodchuck). RNAcentral describes it as "tRNA.Ala". It matches the Rfam family "tRNA", at positions 6 to 65 of the family's 71-position model. Rfam says of the family: Transfer RNA (tRNA) molecules are approximately 80 nucleotides in length. Their secondary structure includes four short double-helical elements and three loops (D, anti-codon, and T loops). Lineage: Eukaryota; Metazoa; Chordata; Mammalia; Rodentia; Sciuridae. The record is from RNAcentral.
GGAUGUAGCUUAGUGGUAGAGGACUUGCCUAGCAUGCAUGAGGCCCUGGCUUCAAUCCCCAGCACCA